This is a long non-coding RNA of Monomorium pharaonis (pharaoh ant), 1285 nucleotides long. RefSeq lists it as uncharacterized. NCBI's taxonomy places the organism in Eukaryota, Metazoa, Arthropoda, Insecta, Hymenoptera, Formicidae. The record is from RefSeq and is a predicted model, not a curated record. The transcript has 3 exons.
AAAGAAAGUAAUAAAUAAUAUUAUAUAACGCUCACCAAUACACUAAACAUAUAUAGAAUAUUAAAUACGUAUUUAGAAUAUUCGGAUUGGUACGAAUGAACUGUCAUGCGCAUGUACGAUUGUACGCAUCUCGCUAUUUUGUACGCGCCAGUGCACGCGUCUGCACGCGCAACGCCGCAACAUGAUGAUGUGCGCGAGGUUAGUAGCGAGUCAGUUUUCAGUUUUAUGCAUAAUUUGCAUAUUUUAUCGUGAAGGGAAAUACGGCUGUGCUUAAUUUAAAGUUUAGUCUAACACUAUGGAUUGUAUAAUCAGAUAAGUCUCACAAAAUUUUUAUUUUUUUGUAUGGAGUAAGUAUUCUGAGAUAAGAUGAAUACUUUGUGUUAUGUUUUAUUUUUAGUUAUAUUAAAAGCAAGAGAGGAAGAAACACUAUUUGAGCGUAAAGUAGAAGAGUAGACGAGUAAGGAAAGAAAGAUGUAAAAGAGAGAUCAACCUCACAGCUUGGAAUUUACAGUGUGCCGAACAGAAUAUGUGGACCUUGAAGGUAUCAAAUAACAUAAUUUUACUAAAAAAGUUAUAGGAUGAAGUGAACAAUUUAUUUUUUGUGUGAGAAAGUAUCUAUUACAAUCUAACUUGUUCCGAGAAAACCUUUACAAAAGAUUUAAUAAAGAACAAGCAAUUUGAUGAGAUUAUCAUAUCAUUAUUAUCAUAUUUAUUAUUCGAAUUUUAAAGAGAAACAGUAAGAAAUUUUAUUAAUACAUUAUUAAAAAAUUGUUGGCUGUUACACCAAAAUUCUCUUUCUUGUAAGCUGAUGUAUGCUAUUGAUAAAAAAUUCACCAAAGUUCAUCCCUGUUUUAGCUCAGCGAACCAUUAUAUGUAUAGAGAAUUGACAGAGCAAUUCAUAUCAAAAGGAUUAUCUAAAGGUGUACUUCCUAGUUCUUCAAUGUAUUGCAACUGUGUGGCUCUUAAAGGUAUCGUACAACUAUCUUUUUUAGAUAGUUGUUACUGAAAUAAAUAAAAAGCGUGAAAUCUGAUCUGAAACAAUUACAACAAAGUAUACAGACUAAUAUCACUCAACUAACCUGCCGAUGAUGUGGUCGCAGGCUGUAAUAUAGGAAAUAUGUUUAUGAAUGUCAAGGAUCAUCUAAUAAUUUAAGAAUGACCAGUGGAUGUGCGUAUGAUUAUCUGGAAAUGUGCACAAAAGUGGAACUUGAGAAGGAACAUUUGAUUAUUCCCAUCUCUAAUUUGCUGGGUUUUAUUCUAAAAACAUAUAAUGGCUAUAGUUUAU